Molecule: unclassified non-coding RNA, 243 nt
Filed under: plant metagenome
Description: partial contains small subunit ribosomal RNA, internal transcribed spacer 1, and 5.8S ribosomal RNA
Source: RNAcentral
UCUCCGUUGGUGAACCAGCGGAGGGAUCAUACAGAGUUUACAACUCCCAAACCCAAAUGUGAACAUACCAAUCGUUGCUUCGGCGGACUCGUCCCGGCGUCCGGGUGGCCUGGUGCUGCCCUCGGCCCGGAUCCAGGCGGCCGCCGGAGACCAUCAGACCCUUUGUAUUAUACGUAUCCUCUGAAUCCGCCGCAAGGCAAAACAAAUGAAUCAAAACUUUCAACAACGGAUCUCAUGGUUCUG